ACGUCAAUUUUCAUUUCUGUCAGCUAACCAGCUGAUUACUAAAAUUUUAUUAUAUUGUAUUACAUUAUUACAUCUGUGUAUUACAUACUUAAUAUUUAUGUAAUUUUCCGGCAACAUAUAUCCAGAGAUGCUCAGAAAAGUGGUGUUUGGGUCUGGUUUAGUGGCCCUGGUGCCGACUGUUAGUGCGGCUUCUCCAUCACAAGAGCCCGCGAAACCCCCUCCGAUGAGACCCUCCGACUUGCCUAUAUACGAAGCUCCACACGCAGAUUAUGGAGAUUACAUUCAAUCAAGGAAAAACACUGAAAAGACAAGCUACAUCAGAUCGGCAUUGCAGUCGCCGGUGACAGCGGUCCGUGAGUGUGUGCAGUCUGCCUGUGCACAGACAGAGUCCAUCACCAAUGCUGUGCAGGACAACUAUCACCAAAUACAGGAUAAAUCAGACUGGAUAGUGAAAUAUCUACGCGAGGAAGAGAACAAAGAUGUCCGUUAUGGCGCUGUAGCUAUGGGCGGUCUCACAGGGUUUAUAUUUGGAUUGAGGGGCGGUAUUAUCAGGAGGGUACUGUACGCGGGUAUAGGCACCACAGCUUUGGGAUUCGUUUGUUUCCCAGAUGAAACAAGAGAACUCUUAAAAAACAAUGGGGUGCUAGCCAAACAAUACGUAAAUAUUGCAUAUAACUUCCUUUAUGGAGUGAAACCUGGAGACCCACAGCUUGAGGUGAAAUUCCCUGAGUUGUCUGUGCCUAAAAACUUUUCGGAACUCGCUGACUUGACGGUCUCAUUAGCAUCGUCAGUGAAACAGGCCGUCAUGCCACCACCAGCGAAGGAAUCGACCGAUUCUAAACCUUCAGAUAAGAAGGAUUAGGUACAAUUUUGUAUUAUCUAAUCAAUGACGAAGUAGAUGACAGAGUAUCCAGUAAGUAUACAGCUCCACCAUGAACGAGCGACUACAGAAAUACCGUAUGGGUA
RNA transcript from Achroia grisella, 966 nucleotides. It is a transcript of the gene named MICOS complex subunit MIC27, with no coding region annotated. The transcript has 8 exons. The record is from RefSeq and is a predicted model, not a curated record. NCBI's taxonomy places the organism in Eukaryota, Metazoa, Arthropoda, Insecta, Lepidoptera, Pyralidae.